Molecule: unclassified non-coding RNA, 343 nt
Filed under: soil metagenome
Description: partial contains 5.8S ribosomal RNA, internal transcribed spacer 2, and large subunit ribosomal RNA
Rfam family: 5.8S ribosomal RNA (bases 1-120)
Source: RNAcentral
GAUGAAGAACGCAGCGAAAUGCGAUAAGUAAUGUGAAUUGCAGAAUUCAGUGAAUCAUCGAAUCUUUGAACGCACAUUGCGCCCGCCAGCAUUCCGGCGGGCAUGCCUGUUCGAGCGUCAUUUCAACCCUCGACUUCCCUUUGGGGAAAUCGGCGUUGGGGACCGGCUGUAUACCGCCGGCCCCGAAAUGAAGUGGCGGCCCGUCCGCGGCGACCUCUGCGUAGUAAUCCAACUCGCACCGGAACCCCGACGUGGCCACGCCGUAAAACCCCCGACUUCUGAACGUUGACCUCGGAUCAGGUAGGAAUACCCGCUGAACUUAAGCAUAUCAAUAAGCGGAGGA